CCGCGGCCGGGUUGAAGCCAGCCGCGAAACGCGCAGCGGCGGCCUCAGCCUCCCGGGAACCCCUGCUCGGCGCCGGCCCCGCCCGGGCCGACCCAUCCGAAGAAAUGAGUGGUGGCCUGGCUCCAAGUAAGAGCACAGUGUACGUGUCCAACUUGCCCUUCUCCCUGACAAACAACGACUUAUACCGGAUAUUUUCCAAGUAUGGCAAAGUUGUGAAGGUUACUAUAAUGAAAGACAAAGACACGAGGAAGAGUAAAGGAGUGGCAUUUAUAUUGUUUUUGGAUAAAGACUCUGCACAAAGCUGCACCAGAGCCAUAAAUAACAAACAGUUAUUUGGUAGAGUGAUAAAGGCAAGCAUUGCUAUUGACAAUGGAAGAGCAGCCGAAUUCAUCCGAAGGCGAAACUACUUUGAUAAAUCUAAAUGUUACGAAUGUGGGGAAAGUGGACACCUAAGUUAUGCUUGUCCAAAGAAUAUGCUCGGGGAAUGUGAGCCUCCAAAGAAGAAAGAAAAGAAGAAGAAAAUGAAAACCACAGAACCGGAAGAAAUCGAGGACGCAGCAGGAAGCGAGGAUGAGGGCAAGGACCCCGCUCUGGACAGCCUCAGCCAAGCCAUCUCCUGCCAGUAAGCCAAGAUGGAAGAACAAAACAAAUGGAAAGUCAGUGCUGGGGUCCCUUCAACUUCCGAGGAUUCACGGCGCCCAAGGAUAAAGAAGAGCACGUACUUCAGUGCCGAGGAAGAGCUUAGCGAUUAGCAUCAUACACUGGAGAUGUCAGGAAAAUGAAAACCGUCUGCAAUAGAGUGUCUGCAGACAAAGACACUUGGGACCAGAUGCUAUUUUUUACAACAAAUGGUGCACAGAAAAUGAAACAAAAUUUUUGAAAUGAUUAUAGUUUGAGUUGGCCACAGUGACAACUCCUGUACUGCUAGCACUGUGGGAGGCUGAGGCAGGAUGACUGGGAGUUCAAGUCCAGCCUGGGCAACUUAGAAAUUGAACAAACCCUAUUUCAACAUAUUUUAACAAGUUAAACCAAGAAUGUAGCUCAGUGGCAGGACCUGGAUUCAAUCACCAGCACCAAAAAAAAAAAAAAAUCACAUUUCUACCUUGCCAAGGCAUAGUAGACUUAACAUCCCUAACCCAAAAUCCAAAAUGCUCUAAAAUCCUAAACUUGGAGCACCAAUGUGAUGGCUUGAGUGGAAAAUACACCACGCAAC
Molecule: RNA transcript, 1213 nt
Organism: Octodon degus (degu)
Lineage: Eukaryota; Metazoa; Chordata; Mammalia; Rodentia; Octodontidae
Gene name: zinc finger CCHC-type and RNA-binding motif-containing protein 1 pseudogene
Exons: 1
Source: RefSeq, a predicted model, not a curated record